GACGAACGCUGGCGGCGUGCUUAACACAUGCAAGUCGAACGGACAGGCCCUGCGUUUGUGGGGUGCUCGAUUGGCGAACGGGUGAGUAACACGUGAGUAACCUGCCCUUGACUUUGUGAUAACUUCACGAAACUGGGGCUAAUAUCGGAUAGGAUCUCCUGCUGCAUGUGGGGCGUUGGAAAGUUUCGGCGUUUGUGGAUGGUCUGGAGGCUUAUCAGCUUGUUGGUGGGGUAGUGGCAUACCAAGGUUUUGACGGGUAGCCCGCCUGAGAGGGUGACCGGCCACCAUGGGCCUGCGGUAGGGACCAGAAUGCUACCGGCCGCAGCAGUGGGGAACAUUGCAGAAUGAGGGGACGCCUGAUGUAGAAGCCCCGCGUGCGGGAAGCCCUGUUAUGGGUUGUAAACAGAUUUCGACUUUGACAAACCCUGAGUGACGGUAAUGGGUAAAGAAGCACCGGCUAACUACGUG
Molecule: ribosomal RNA, 468 nt
Filed under: uncultured bacterium
Lineage: Bacteria
Description: partial 16S ribosomal RNA
Rfam family: Bacterial small subunit ribosomal RNA
Source: RNAcentral